UGGGAUUAAACAUAUGUGCCACUAUAUCUG
This 30-nucleotide non-coding RNA is filed under the name Mus musculus (house mouse). Lineage: Eukaryota; Metazoa; Chordata; Mammalia; Rodentia; Muridae. The record is from RNAcentral.